AUCCCAACAGAAGAACAGAGCUGGGGAAAGAGGCCAGUACUAAUUUUAGUCUGUUUCAUGGAAAAGAGUGGCGGAUCCAUUUGAUGCCCAAAGACAGGAAGGCACUCACCUCUGCGUGGACCUUUGAAGCAAAGCUGUAUACACUGGACGAAUUUUACUCUGGACUUUCUGGAUGCUGUGAAUCGAAUUGUAAGUUUUGACUCUCAGGUAGGUCUCUGAGGUAAGAUUGGGGUCAGCUGUGUGUGACAAGAAGCCAUGUUUCUGUUUUAUGAAAUGAGCACUGGGGGCCGGUGUGGCAGGGCCAGUGUGGCUGCUCUGUAGGAGCGAAGGCCCCAGCUCCUUCAGUUUGGUCCCACCCUCUCCUGUACUUGCACGGGCGGCCCCCAGGCCUGCAGGGGCUGAGAUCUCAGCAGUUUUCCACCCUCAGGAAGGAGAAGUGGGAGGGGAGGCGGCUCUGCUUCCCUGUGGACACUUCCCGGAGUUGCACACGACAUCUUCUUGGUCAGUGACCGCCACAGGCUGUGUCAGGCGCUGGGCAACGGCUCCCUGAAACAGCAGAGAGCUCUGUACUAAAGAGGACAGGUCCCGGGGGACAGCAGCAGAUGUGGUGUGCAGAGUGAUUCUUCCCUCAAUGUGUGAGAUGAGAGUAAACGUUUGGAUAAGUUAUUAAUUCAAGAUGAGCAAGAAAGACACUAGCUUCUUGUUCCAGGUGCUUUUUUUUUUAUUUUAACUAACAGUAAGCUAGACCCGUGUUGUCUUAGACCUGGGAUGUGGUGUGUCCUG
Molecule: long non-coding RNA, 783 nt
Filed under: Marmota monax (woodchuck)
Lineage: Eukaryota; Metazoa; Chordata; Mammalia; Rodentia; Sciuridae
Source: RNAcentral